RNAcentral lists this ribosomal RNA (200 nucleotides) under uncultured bacterium. RNAcentral's name for it is "partial 16S ribosomal RNA". It matches the Rfam family "Bacterial small subunit ribosomal RNA", at positions 8 to 234 of the family's 1533-position model. The record is from RNAcentral.
AGAGUUUGAUCCUGGCUCAGAGCGAACGCUGGCGGCAGGCCUAACACAUGCAAGUCGAGCGCGUGUAGCAAUACACGAGCGGCAGACGGGAGAGUAACACGUGGGAACGUACCCUUCGGUUCGGAAUAACCCAGGGAAACUUGGACUAAUACCGGAUACGUCCGAAAGGAGAAAGAUUUAUCGCCGAAGGAUCGGCCCGC